Molecule: ribosomal RNA, 301 nt
Filed under: uncultured bacterium
Lineage: Bacteria
Description: partial 16S ribosomal RNA
Rfam family: Bacterial small subunit ribosomal RNA
Source: RNAcentral
CAGCAGCCGCGGUAAUACAGAGGGUGCGAGCGUUAAUCGGAUUUACUGGGCGUAAAGCGUGCGCAGGCGGUUUUGUAAGACAGAGGUGAAAUCCCCGGGCUCAACCUGGGAACUGCCUUUGUGACUGCAAGGCUAGAGUACGGCAGAGGGGGAUGGAAUUCCGCGUGUAGCAGUGAAAUGCGUAGAUAUGCGGAGGAACACCGAUGGCGAAGGCAAUCCCCUGGGCCUGUACUGACGCUCAUGCACGAAAGCGUGGGGAGCAAACAGGAUUAGAUACCCGCGUAGUCCCUGUCUCUUAUAC